This 425-nucleotide ribosomal RNA is filed under the name uncultured bacterium. RNAcentral describes it as "bacterial SSU rRNA". It matches the Rfam family "Bacterial small subunit ribosomal RNA", at positions 359 to 776 of the family's 1533-position model. The record is from RNAcentral.
GAAUAUUGGACAAUGGGGGAAACCCUGAUCCAGCGACGCCGCGUGGGUGAAGAAGGCCUGCGGGUUGUAAAGCCCUUUCGGUAGGGACGAAAGCUUCCGACCUAACACGUCGGGAGGUUGACUUAACCUACAAAAGAAGCACCGGCUAACUCUUUGCCAGCAGCCGCGGUAAUACAGAGGGUGCGAGCGAUAAUCGGAAUUACUGGGCGUAAAGCGCACGUAGGCGGCUUUGCAAGUCGGGUGUGAAAUCCCCGGGCUCAACCUGGGAACUGCAUCCGAGACUGCUUUGCUCGAGUAUGGGAGAGGGAAGUGGAAUUUCCGGUGUAGCGGUGAGAUGCGUAGAUAUCGGAAGGAACAUCAGUGGCGAAGGCGACUUCCUGGACCAAUACUGACGCUCAGGUGCGAAAGCGUGGGGAGCAAACAGG